This 26-nucleotide non-coding RNA is filed under the name Cricetulus griseus (Chinese hamster). The record is from RNAcentral. Lineage: Eukaryota; Metazoa; Chordata; Mammalia; Rodentia; Cricetidae.
ACAUCUUCUCCCACUCUUCCCUGUAG